This 3364-nucleotide long non-coding RNA is filed under the name Hordeum vulgare. Its description in RNAcentral is "long non-coding RNA (HVUL_LNC008957)". The record is from RNAcentral. Lineage: Eukaryota; Viridiplantae; Streptophyta; Magnoliopsida; Poales; Poaceae.
CUCCACGUCGCCGUGGCCCUGGUAGACCGGCGGGAGCGCGGAGGCCAGCGUGAUCUGCUGGUACUUGUAGGAGGCGUAGACGUCGAGGCGGUCGUAGUAGACGCCGACGCGGUCGUUGGGGUUGCGGGAGGCGACGGUGACCUGGAGCACGGUGGAGAGCACGCCGGCGGCGGCGGAGGCGUUGGCGGUGAGCACGUCCAGCUGCCGGAGCGAGGCGUCCUGGAGGUAGAAGCGCGGGUGCGUGGGGCGGAGGACCAGGUAGACGAUGAGGGCGAUGACGGCGACCACCAGGGCCAGGAAGAAGAGGAUGGCCAGGAGGCGCCGGCACGCCCGCCGGACGUCGUCCUCGCCGUGGUUGCCGCAGUCCUUGCCCAUGGCGUCCGAGCUGCUUUUCGCCGAGCUUGCUUUGCUUUAGGACGCGUGUGGGAGAGGAGAGGAGAGGAGAGCAGAGCAAGAAGAGGGGUGGUGUCUGGUUGAAAGUGAGGUGGCCAGGCCGCUCCGGUGGCGUGAAUAAAACGGGCUCUCCGAAUUGAGUCGUGAUUUCCGAAAUAAAAUAAAGCAAAUUGCGUCAUGGUUCUUUUAUGGGUCAUCACCUUUUAUUUUAAUAUAUUAUGUUUGUGUGGGGCAGAGAUUGUGUGAGGUGAUCAUGUUUAAAUCAUGGAGGCAGUACAAUACACAGCAGCUCUCUUGUGGCCUCUUUGAACUUGGAGUAAUUUUGAGAAGAGUUAAAUGCACUCAAGGUCCUUGAAAGUUUCACCAGGGUGUUAUUUUCGUUCCAAUUAUUUUAAAAGUGCAUCUUUAAGUCUUAAUCUUUUGAUAAGUGGUUCAUCCCAGGUCUUUUUUCACGAGUUUGAUUGACUUGUCCGUGUGAUGCGUUGACCACGCCAUAUCGAUUGAGGGUUCAACUGCCACACGUCGAUUGAGGGCUCAACCGCCACACGAGAAAAGCACACACCACCACAUGUUGCUCCUUUUUAUAUAGAAAGACCCUUGUGACCCAUCUCUUACAUUUCCCAACCCCUACCAAAUAUCUCUCUAUCCCUCUCUUUCUUUCUCUCUUCCUCUCCCUCUCUCCCUCUCGUGCCCACACCGUUGCCAUGGCUGGAGCAGCAAGCUCCUCGANNNNNNNNNNNNNNNNNNNNNNNNNNNNNNNNNNNNNNNNNNNNNNNNNNNNNNNNNNNNNNNNNNNNNNNNNNNNNNNNNNNNNNNNNNNNNNNNNNNNAAGAGAUAAACCAGCCCCUAGUGGGCUGGAAUAAGUUCCCACUAAGGCCCAUAAGGUUUGAGAAGDAAAAACACAAGGUGGAAAGAGUUUCCAAGUGGGAAGGUGGAAUCCUACUCCAAGUAGGAUUGGAGUAGGACUCCUCCACCUCCAAUUUCGGCCAAACCUUUAGGUUUUGAGGCUGCCUCCUCCCCUCCCUCCCUCCUAUAUAUAGUGGGGUUUUAGGGCUGAUUUGAGACAACUUUUGCCACGGCAGCCCGACCACAUACCUCCACGGUUUUACCUCUAGGCCGCGUUUCUGCGGAGCUCGGGCGGAGCCCUGCUGAGAUUAUAUCACCACCAACCUCCGGAGCGCCGUCACGCUGCCGGAGAACUCAUCUACCUCUCCAUCUCUCUUGCUGGAUCAAGAAGGCCGAGAUCAUCGUCGAGCUGUACGUGUGUUGAACGCGGAGGUGCCGUCCGUUCGGCACUAGAUCGGAGCGGAUUGUGGGACGGAUCGCGGGACGGUUUGUGGGACGGUUCACGGGGCGGAUCGAGGGACGUGAGGACAUUCCACUACAUCAACCGCGUUCACUAACGCUUCUACUAUGCGAUCUACAAGGGUACGUAGAUCGGAAAUCCCCUCUCGUAGAUGGACAUCACCAUGAUAGGUCUUCGUGCGCGUAGGAAUUUUUUUGUUUCCCAUGCGACGUUCCCCAACAGUGGCAUCAUGAGCUAGGUUCAUGCGUAGAUGUCUUCUUGAGUAGAACACAACAGUUUUUUGUGGGCGGUGAUGUGCGUUUUGCUGCCCUCCUUAGUCUUUUCUUGAUUCCGCGGUAUUGUUGGAUCGAAGCGGCUCAGACCGACAUUACUCGUACGCUUACAAGAGACUGGUUUCAUCGCUACGAGUAACUCCGUUGCUCAAAGAUGACCGACGAGUGUCAGUUUCUCCAACUUUAGUUGAAUCGGAUUUGACCGAGGAGGUCCUUAGAUGAUGUUAAAUAGCAAUUCAUAUAUCUCCGUUGUGGUGUUUGCGUAAGUAAGAUGCGAUCCUACUAGAUACCCAUGGUCACCACGUAAAACAUGCAACAACAAUUAGAGGACGUCUAACUUGUUUUUGCAGGGUAUGCUUGUGAUGUGAUAUGGCCAACGAUGUGAUGUGAUAUAUUGGAUGUAUGAGAUGAUCAUGUUGUAAUAGUUAGUAUCGACUUGCACGUCGAUGGUACGGCAACCGGCAGGAGCCAUAGGGUUGUCUUUAAACUAACGUUUGUGCUUGCAGAUGCGUUUACUAUAUUGCUAGGACGUAGCUUUAGUAGUAAUAGCAUGAGUAGCACGACAACCCCGAUGGCGACACGUUGAUGGAGAUCAUGAUGAUGGAGAUCAUGGUGUGACGCCGGUGACAAGAAGAUUGUGCCGGUGCUUUGGUGAUGGAGAUCAAGGAGCACAUGAUGAUGGCCAUAUCAUGUCACUUAUGAAUUGCAUGUGAUGUUAAUCCUUUUAUGCACCUUAUUUUGCUUAGAACGACGGUAGAAUUAUGAGGUGAUCUCUCACUAAAAUUUCAAGACGAAAUUGUGUUCUCCCCGACUGUGCACCGUUGCUACAGUUCGUCGUUUUGAGACACCACGUGAUGAUCGGGUGUGAUAGACUCAACGUUCACAUACAACGGGUGCAAAACAAUUGCACACGCGGAACACUCGGGUUAAGCUUGACGAGCCUAGCAUGUGCAGACAUGGCCUCGGAACACAUGAGACCGAAAGGUUGAGCAUGAAUCGUAUAGUUGAUAUGAUUAGCAUAGAGAUGCUUACCACUGAAACUAUUCUCGACUCGCGUGAUGAUUGGACUUGAGAUAGUGGAUUUGGAUCAUGUACCACUCAAAUGACUAGAGAGAUGUACUUUUUGAGUGGGAGUUCUUAAGUAAUAUGAUUAAUUGAACUAAUUGUCGUGAACAUAGUCUAAUGGUCUUUGCGAAUUACGAUGUAGCUUGCGCUAUAGCUCUACUGUUUUUAUAUGUUCCUAGAGAAAAUUUAGUUGAAAGUUGAUAGUAGCAAACUUUGCAGACUGAGUUUGUAAAACCGAGGAUUGUCCUCGUUGCUGCGUAGAAGGCUUAUGUCCUUAAUGCACCACUCGGUGUGCUGCACCUCGAGCGUCGUCUGUAGAUGUUGUGAA